RNA transcript from Arabidopsis thaliana (thale cress), 892 nucleotides. RefSeq lists it as uncharacterized. Lineage: Eukaryota; Viridiplantae; Streptophyta; Magnoliopsida; Brassicales; Brassicaceae. The transcript is spliced from 3 exons. The record is from RefSeq.
UUUCUCAUGCAACAUCGCUUAAUCAACAAAGAAAUGGAAAACAAGACCACACAUACGAUUCUAUUUGAAAAAGGAAACAAAUGGGCCGAAUAAAUAUUAAUGGGCCUGAUUAAAUGGGCACUAUAUCCAAUUAAACUAUGCUAAACAGAAACGUUAUCUUUUCGAAUAACACACAAACUCAACGUUGCCAGUGAAGUUCGCCGUCGCCGGAGCUCAUGGAUCGACCACCGUCGUUUACACCCUAUCAAAAUUCUAAUCCGAAAUUCUUCAACCACGCUUCUCCUUUUCAAAAUCCUAACAAUUUUACUCCAUCGCUCCGGCGCCGAUUCACGAGCUCUCCGAUUUUUAUGAGACUAGGCCACUCAGUACAGAGAAGAAAUGAAUGCACUUGGGCAUAGAAAUGUUACAUCUGAACCACCUAGUGCUUCUGCUGCAAUGUCAUCUUCAAAAGCUAUUAGUAAGCCAAAACUGUCCCAAGGUUCAAAUAUGCAGUGGAUUAAAAAAGUCAUCUAAAGUCGUCAAAAAUGUCUCAACCUUCCACUUCUAUCGAUGAGAUGAGCUUCUCUUAUGAGUUGUUUGUGAAACUUUAUUGUGAUAGAGUAGAAUUACAGCCAUUUGGCCUUGUGAACUUAUGGAACAGGUACAUCAUUGACGAGGAUGAAGAAAGGCACAACUUUGGACACAAAGGAGGUAACAAGGCCUGAAGCUUAUUUAAGCCAUAUUUUUUUGCCUAUACAUUCAUACAGCACAAAAAAGAGAAAUUUUAACUGAAUAUAAGAUUCUGCGAGCCAUCAAUUGGUUGGUCUCACUUGCUUCAAAAAAGCUGCUUACUUAAGAGUUUCUAUUCAUUUGCUGAGUUGGUUAUCAUCUGGUUAGGACGUUUAACUUGGUC